RNAcentral lists this ribosomal RNA (482 nucleotides) under uncultured bacterium. Its description in RNAcentral is "partial 16S ribosomal RNA". It matches the Rfam family "Bacterial small subunit ribosomal RNA", at positions 30 to 507 of the family's 1533-position model. The record is from RNAcentral.
AUUGAACGCUGGCGGCAUGCUUUACACAUGCAAGUCGAACGGUAACAGGCCGCAAGGUGCUGACGAGUGGCGAACGGGUGAGUAAUGCAUCGGAACGUGCCCAGUCGUGGGGGAUAACUACUCGAAAGAGUAGCUAAUACCGCAUACGAUCUAUGGAUGAAAGCGGGGGACCGUAAGGCCUCGCGCGAUUGGAGCGGCCGAUGUCCGAUUAGGUAGUUGGUGGGGUAAAGGCUCACCAAGCCAACGAUCUGUAGCUGGUCUCAGAGGACGACCAGCCACACUGGGACUGAGACACGGCCCAGACUCCUACGGGAGGCAGCAGUGGGGAAUUUUGGACAAUGGGCGCAAGCCUGAUCCAGCAAUGCCGCGUGCAGGAAGAAGGCCUUCGGGUUGUAAACUGCUUUUGUACGGAACGAAACGGCUCUGGUUAAUACCCGGGGCUAAUGACGGUACCGUAAGAAUAAGCACCGGCUAACUACGUG